Cyprinus carpio carpio is the source of this 494-nucleotide long non-coding RNA. The record is from Ensembl. NCBI's taxonomy places the organism in Eukaryota, Metazoa, Chordata, Actinopteri, Cypriniformes, Cyprinidae.
GUGUGUGCUGUGGUUGGUUAGCUGGGCCAGUGUGUGUGUGCUGUGGUUGGUUAGCUGGGCCAGUGUGUUGUGUGUUGCGGUCGGUUAGCUGGGCCAGUGUGUGUUGCGGUCGGUUAGCUGGGCAAGUGUGUGUUGCGGUUGGUUAGCUGGGCCAGUGUGUGUUGCGGUUGGUUAGCUGGGCCAGUGUGUGUGUGCUGUGGUUGGUUAGCUGGGCCAGUGUGUGUGUGCUGUGGUUGGUUAGCUGGGCCAGUGUGUGUUGCGGUUGGUUAGCUGGGCCAGUGUGUGUUGCGGUUGGUUAGCUGGGCCAGUGUGUGUGUGCUGUGAUUGGUUAGCUGGGCCAGUGUGUGUUGCGGUUGGUUAGCUGGGCCAGUGUGUGUGUGCUGUGAUUGGUUAGCUGGGCCAGUGUGUGUUGCGGUUGGUUAGCUGGGCCAGUGUGUGUGUUGCGGUUGGUUAGCUGGGCCAGUGUGUGUGUGCUGUGAUUGGUUAGCUGGGCC